UCUCCCAUCUACAUAUACAUACAUGGUCUAUAUUUAUCCAAAAAAUUAGUUGAACAACCAAAAGCUUUGUGGCAGUACUCUCUGGAGAAACAAAUUGAAGAAACGUAAAAAAAUGAAUAAAUCACGUGGUUCAGCGGCUGAUAAAUGGACUGAUGAAGAAACAUCUAUCCUUAUAAGUGUCUUGUAUGAUGACGCGAGGAAGUCCGGAUUUAAAGGUUAUGCCAUCAGUGGUCCACGAUUAAUAGAAGUUAGGAAUGAGUUUUUUGAGAAAAUUGAAAAUCGAGAUAAGUUUGAUGAUGAGAGAAUUAAGUCAAAGAUUCAACGAUUAAGGAAAGACACAAAAACCUUCAAGGAUCUCCUUAGUUCUUGCUCUGGAUAUGGAUGGAACCCUACAACUAACACAAUUACAACCCUACAAAGAUUCCUUUUGUUUUCUUCUCUUUUUUUUUCCCGAAUUUAUAUUAGUUGUAUUUUCAUUAUCAUGAUUAGUAUCAAGACCUUUUCACUAUACGAAUAUUUACCGUAAUGAUUCUUGUUAAUUUGUUGCGGAAGUCAUAAAUAUUGUUACAUGAGAUUUCUAU
This is a long non-coding RNA of Solanum pennellii, 581 nucleotides long. RefSeq lists it as uncharacterized. The record is from RefSeq and is a predicted model, not a curated record. The transcript is spliced from 2 exons. Lineage: Eukaryota; Viridiplantae; Streptophyta; Magnoliopsida; Solanales; Solanaceae.